RNAcentral lists this ribosomal RNA (1039 nucleotides) under Bifidobacterium adolescentis. Its description in RNAcentral is "bacterial SSU rRNA". It matches the Rfam family "Bacterial small subunit ribosomal RNA", at positions 58 to 1104 of the family's 1533-position model. The record is from RNAcentral. Lineage: Bacteria; Bacillati; Actinomycetota; Actinomycetes; Bifidobacteriales; Bifidobacteriaceae.
CAAGUCGAACGGGAUCCCAGGAGCUUGCUCCUGGGUGAGAGUGGCGAACGGGUGAGUAAUGCGUGACCGACCUGCCCCAUACACCGGAAUAGCUCCUGGAAACGGGUGGUAAUGCCGGAUGCUCCAGUUGGAUGCAUGUCCUUCUGGGAAAGAUUCAUCGGUAUGGGAUGGGGUCGCGUCCUAUCAGCUUGAUGGCGGGGUAACGGCCCACCAUGGCUUCGACGGGUAGCCGGCCUGAGAGGGCGACCGGCCACAUUGGGACUGAGAUACGGCCCAGACUCCUACGGGAGGCAGCAGUGGGGAAUAUUGCACAAUGGGCGCAAGCCUGAUGCAGCGACGCCGCGUGCGGGAUGACGGCCUUCGGGUUGUAAACCGCUUUUGACUGGGAGCAAGCCCUUCGGGGUGAGUGUACCUUUCGAAUAAGCACCGGCUAACUACGUGCCAGCAGCCGCGGUAAUACGUAGGGUGCAAGCGUUAUCCGGAAUUAUUGGGCGUAAAGGGCUCGUAGGCGGUUCGUCGCGUCCGGUGUGAAAGUCCAUCGCUUAACGGUGGAUCCGCGCCGGGUACGGGCGGGCUUGAGUGCGGUAGGGGAGACUGGAAUUCCCGGUGUAACGGUGGAAUGUGUAGAUAUCGGGAAGAACACCAAUGGCGAAGGCAGGUCUCUGGGCCGUCACUGACGCUGAGGAGCGAAAGCGUGGGGAGCGAACAGGAUUAGAUACCCUGGUAGUCCACGCCGUAAACGGUGGAUGCUGGAUGUGGGGACCAUUCCACGGUCUCCGUGUCGGAGCCAACGCGUUAAGCAUCCCGCCUGGGGAGUACGGCCGCAAGGCUAAAACUCAAAGAAAUUGACGGGGGCCCGCACAAGCGGCGGAGCAUGCGGAUUAAUUCGAUGCAACGCGAAGAACCUUACCUGGGCUUGACAUGUUCCCGACAGCCGUAGAGAUACGGUCUCCCUUCGGGGCGGGUUCACAGGUGGUGCAUGGUCGUCGUCAGCUCGUGUCGUGAGAUGUUGGGUUAAGUCCCGCAACGAGCGCAACCC